GACGAACGCUGGCGGCGUGCUUAACACAUGCAAGUCGAACGGAAAGGCCCUGCUUUUGUGGGGUGCUCGAGUGGCGAACGGGUGAGUAACACGUGAGUAACCUGCCCUUGACUUUGGGAUAACUUCAGGAAACUGGGGCUAAUACCGGAUAGGAGCUCCUGCUGCAUGGUGGGGGUUGGAAAGUUUCGGCGGUUGGGGAUGGACUCGCGGCUUAUCAGCUUGUUGGUGGGGUAGUGGCUUACCAAGGCUUUGACGGGUAGCCGGCCUGAGAGGGUGACCGGCCACAUUGGGACUGAGAUGCGGCCCAGACUCCUACGGGAGGCAGCAGUGGGGAAUAUUGCACAAUGGGCGGAAGCCUGAUGCAGCAACGCCGCGUGCGGGAUGACGGCCUUCGGGCUGUAAACCGCUUUCGCCUGUGACGAAGCGUGAGUGACGGUAAUGGGUAAAGAAGCACCGGCUAACUACGUG
Molecule: ribosomal RNA, 468 nt
Filed under: uncultured bacterium
Lineage: Bacteria
Description: partial 16S ribosomal RNA
Rfam family: Bacterial small subunit ribosomal RNA
Source: RNAcentral